UGGGGAAUAUUGCACAAUGGGCGAAAGCCUGAUGCAGCAACGCCGCGUGAGUGAUGAAGGUCUUCGGAUUGUAAAGCUCUGUCUUUUGGGACGAUAAAUGACGGUACCAAAGGAGGAAGCCACGGCUAACUACGUGCCAGCAGCCGCGGUAAUACGUAGGUGGCGAGCGUUGUCCGGAUUUACUGGGCGUAAAGGGUGCGUAGGCGGAUGUUUAAGUGAGAUGUGAAAUACCCGGGCU
This 238-nucleotide ribosomal RNA is filed under the name uncultured bacterium. Its description in RNAcentral is "partial 16S ribosomal RNA". It matches the Rfam family "Bacterial small subunit ribosomal RNA", at positions 355 to 609 of the family's 1533-position model. The record is from RNAcentral.